Molecule: ribosomal RNA, 2575 nt
Filed under: Akkermansia muciniphila
Lineage: Bacteria; Pseudomonadati; Verrucomicrobiota; Verrucomicrobiia; Verrucomicrobiales; Akkermansiaceae
Description: partial 23S ribosomal RNA
Rfam family: Bacterial large subunit ribosomal RNA
Source: RNAcentral
GGAUAAGGAAAGUAAAAAAGGGCGCAUGGCGGAUGCCUUGGCUCUCGGAGGCGAUGAAGGACGUGAUAAGCUGCGAUAAGCUUUGGGGAGGUGCAAAUGACCUUUGAUCCAGAGAUUUCCGAAUGGGACAACCCAAUAUCUUGAAGAGGUAUUAUCUUACUAUGUAAGAGGCUAACGCAGGGAACUGAAACAUCUUAGUACCUGCAGGAAAAGAAAAUAAACAAUGAUUCCCCCAGUAGUGGCGAGCGAACGGGGAACAGCCCAAACCAUCCAUGUUACGGCAUGGGUGGGGUUGUAGGACUACGCCGUUGCAUGAAGACAUCAGAGAAGAACUUUCUGGAAAGAAAGACCAUAGAGCAUGACAGUUGCGUAUUCGAAUGUUGUCGAAGCAUAGUAGUAUCCUGAGUAGCGCGGAGCACGAGGAAUUCUGCGUGAAUCUGCCGGGACCAUCCGGUAAGGCUAAAUACUCCCGAGAGACCGAUAGCGAACCAGUACCGUGAGGGAAAGGUGAAAAGCACUUCGAACAGAAGAGUGAAAUAGUUCCUGAAACCGUGCGCCUACACGCGGUCGGAGCUCGUUAAUGAGUGACGGCGUGCCUUUUGCAUAAUGAACCUACGAGUUGCCUUUGCCGGCAAGGUUAAGUGUGACGACACACGUAUCCGAAGCGAAAGCGAGUCUGAACAGGGCGUAUAGUCGGCAGUGGCAGACGCGAAACCAAGUGAUCUACCCUUGGCCAGGUUGAAGGCUGGGUAACACCAGCUGGAGGACCGCACCAAUAAGCGUUGAAAAGCUUCUGGAUGAGCUGAGGGUAGGGGUGAAAGGCUAAUCAAACUUGGAGAUAGCUCGUACUCCCCGAAAUGCAUUUAGGUGCAGCCUUGCGGGUUACUGAUGUGAGGUAGAGCGACUGAUAAGAUGCGAGGGCUUCACCGCCUAUCAAGUCUUGACAAACUCCGAAUGCGCAUCAGUUCUACCGCAGGAGUGAGGGCAUGGGUGCUAAGGUCCGUGCCCGAGAGGAGAAGAAUCCGGACCACCUGCUAAGGUCCCGAAAUGACAGCUAAGUUAAACUAACGAAGUCUGACUGCUAAGACAGCUAGGAUGUUGGCUUGGAAGCAGCCAUUCAUUUAAAGAGUGCGUAACAGCUCACUAGUCGAGGAGUCGGGCGUGGAUAAUAAUCGGGUAUCAAGUUGUCUACCGAAGCAGUGGGAUCAUUAAUAUGAUCGGUAGGGGAGCAUUCCAGUCAGCGUCGAAGGCGUACCGUGAGGUAUUCUGGAGCGUCUGGAAAAGCAAAUGUAGGUAUAAGUAACGAUAAAGGGGGCGGGAAACCCCCUCGCCGAAAGACUAAGGUUUCCUGAUCAACGCUAAUCGGAUCAGGGUCAGUCGGGUCCUAAGGCUCAGCCGAACGGCGAUGCCGAUGGCAGAAACGGUUAAUAUUCCGUUACUACCUUCAGGAGUGACGUGGAGACGCAGUAGUGACAGUGCCGCCAUCUGACGGAAUAGAUGGUUGAAGGGUGUAGGAGUCGAUCAUGGCAGGCAAAUCCACCAUGAGAUCCGAACCUGACAGUAUGCCGCGUCCUUCGGGACAAGGCAAUAGUGCGCGUAAGCAUGCUGCCGAGAAAAUCCGCUAAACUUAAUCCUGCAGGUACCCGUACCGCAAACGGACACACGUAGUCGGGAUGAAUAUUCUAAGGCGCUUGAGUGAUUCACGGUUAAGGAACUAGGCAAACUGACCCUGUAACUUCGGGAUAAAGGGUCCCUACCCUUUUAUGGGAGGGCGCAGAGAAUCGGUCCAGGCAACUGUUUAACAAAAACACAGGGCUGUGCCAAAUCGAAAGAUCCAGUAUACAGCCUGACACCUGCCCGGUGCUGGAAGGUUAAGAGGAGAUGUCAUCGAUAAGAGAAGCGUUGAAUUGAAGCCCCAGUAAACGGCGGCCGUAACUAUAACGGUCCUAAGGUAGCGAAAUUCCUUGUCGGGUAAGUUCCGACCUGCACGAAUGGUGUAAUGAUCUGGACGCUGUCUCAACCGUGAGCUCAGUGAAAUUGUAGUAUCGGUGAAGAUGCCGAUUACCCGCGAUGGGACGAAAAGACCCCGUGAACCUUUACUAUAGCUUAUCAUUGAAUCUGGGCACGUGAUGUGUAGGAUAGGUCGGAGGCUUUGAAGCAGGUACGCCAGUAUUAGUGGAGCCGCUGUUGAAAUACGACCCUUUAUUUGUUUGGAUUCUAACCCGUGGAACGGGGACAUUGAUUGGUGGGUAGUUUGACUGGGGUGGUCGCCUCCAAAAGCGUAACGGAGGCUUCUAAAGGUGCCCUCCGGCCGAUUGGUAACCGGCCUUAGAGUGUAAUGGCAUAAGGGCGCUUGACUGGGAGACUAACAAGUCGAUCAGGUAGGAAACUAGAGCAUAGUGAUCCGGUGUUUCCGUAUGGAAGGGACAUCGCUCAAAGGAUAAAAGGUACUCCGGGGAUAACAGGCUGAUCCCUCCCAAGAGCUCAUAUCGACGGAGUGGUUUGGCACCUCGAUGUCGGCUCGUCACAUCCUGGGGCUGGAGAAGGUCCCAAGGGUUGGGCUGUUCGCCCAUUA